Bubalus bubalis (water buffalo) is the source of this 974-nucleotide long non-coding RNA. RefSeq lists it as uncharacterized. The record is from RefSeq and is a predicted model, not a curated record. NCBI's taxonomy places the organism in Eukaryota, Metazoa, Chordata, Mammalia, Artiodactyla, Bovidae. The transcript has 2 exons.
UCCCUUCGGGACGCCCUCAUUUCCCCUCCCCCACAGGGGUGUGGCCGCGCCCCGGGCCUCUGUGAGGCCCCGUCUUCCUAGCCGAUCGCCCCGCGCCGAAGCGAAGCCCACGUCAGCAGCUUUCCCUAGGAAAGGCGGCCGUUCCCAAACCUGCCAUCCCAAACGUGCGGGUUCCAGCCAAGCCCGGAAGGUGGGCGUGCAAAUGGGGCAGUCCCUCUGAAACCCGUUGGCACUGUGUGUUACUAUUUUAAAAUCACGUGCCUUUUGGUAUCAGCACUUCCUACCUAUAGACCCAGACAGAGCCGAGUCGUUAGGCUUCGCUGGAUUUUCUCCUCCUCCUCCUCACAAACUCCAUCCCAGUAGCCGCCGGGCUCAGCCCCAGCCGGGCCUCCCUUUUGCACAAUUUCUCCCCUCGCCGCCCAGCGGUCUCCAUGACAACGAGGUGCGCUCCUCCACUCCGGUCGGCUCUAAGGAGGUGGGCGGAGGGUGGCGCGGGGCAGUCCCCCUUCUCAGCUUAUUUCUUCCGUAGACUUUAUUCCCCAAAUCGGCUUCCCAGAGAAGCUGUUUUGUGGAAGCUGGAAACUAAAAAUCUCUAGGACACCUCUGGUUGAGGUUUAAGAAUCCAACUCUGAGAAGUCAAGCCUUCCACGUGAGAAUGACCUCGCAGAUUAGGCGUCGGAUUUUGUAACCGGUAAAAAUCGUGUGUGUGGUGGGGGAAGGGGUGGAGGAUUAUCCUAGAAAUAAAACCCUCAAAUGUUCAACAUUCUUACAAAAAUUGCCAACCCCUGAGCCUCCCGCUGUUGGGCCUUCAUCUCUGGCAGGCGAGAUUCUUCAGCCGCCCCAGAAAAAAAAUGAUAAUUAUAGCUCCCACUUGUAUUCUUGUUUAAAAGAAAUGAAAAAAAUCCAAAGAGGAUGGAGGAAGAAAACAAAACAUGGCUCAGAUUUCUCUACCCAGCUAUACUUGGUUGCCACUU